Molecule: ribosomal RNA, 497 nt
Filed under: uncultured bacterium
Lineage: Bacteria
Description: partial 16S ribosomal RNA
Rfam family: Bacterial small subunit ribosomal RNA
Source: RNAcentral
GAUGAACGCUGGCGGCGUGCCUAAUACAUGCAAGUCGAGCGAACAGACGAGGAGCUUGCUCCUCUGACGUUAGCGGCGGACGGGUGAGUAACACGUGGAUAACCUACCUAUAAGACUGGGAUAACUUCGGGAAACCGGAUCUAAUACCGGAUAAAAUGUUGAACCGCAUGGUUCAACAGUGAAAGACGGUCUUGCUGUCACUUAUAGAUGGAUCCGCGCCGCAUUAGCUAGUUGGUAAGGUAACGGCUUACCAAGGCAACGAUGCGUAGCCGACCUGAGAGGGUGAUCGGCCACACUGGAACUGAGACACGGUCCAGACUCCUACGGGAGGCAGCAGUAGGGAAUCUUCCGCAAUGGGCGAAAGCCUGACGGAGCAACGCCGCGUGAGUGAUGAAGGUCUUCGGAUCGUAAAACUCUGUUAUUAGGGAAGAACAAAUGUGUAAGUAACUAUGCACGUCUUGACGGUACCUAAUCAAAAAGCCACGGCUAACUACGUG